UCGGGUUGUAAAGCACUUUUGUCCGGAAAGAAAACUUUUGCCCUAAUACGGUGAGAGGAUGACGGUACCGGAAGAAUAAGCACCGGCAACUACGUGCCAGCAGCCGCGGUAAUACGUAGGGUGCGAGCGUUAAUCGGAAUUACUGGGCGUAAAGCGUGCGCAGGCGGUUCGUUAAGACAGAUGUGAAAUCCCCGGGCUUAACCUGGGAACUGCAUUUGUGACUGGCGAGCUAGAGUAUGGCAGAGGGGGGUAGAAUUCCACGUGUAGCAGUGAAAUGCGUAGAGAUGUGGAGGAAUACCGAUGGCGAAGGCAGCCCCCUGGGCCAAUACUGACGCUCAUGCACGAAAGCGUGGGGAGCAAACAGGAUUAGAUACCCUGGUAGUCCACGCCCUAAACGAUGUCAACUAGUUGUUGGGUAUUCAUUGACUUAGUAACGUAGCUAACGCGUGAAGUUGACCGCCUGGGGAGUACGGUCGCAAGAUUAAAACUCAAAGGAAUUGACGGGGACCCGCACAAGCGGUGGAUGAUGUGGAUUAAUUCGAUGCAACGCGAAAAACCUUACCUACCCUUGACAUGGUCGGAACCCUGCUG
RNAcentral lists this ribosomal RNA (591 nucleotides) under uncultured Burkholderia sp. Its description in RNAcentral is "bacterial SSU rRNA". It matches the Rfam family "Bacterial small subunit ribosomal RNA", at positions 418 to 1003 of the family's 1533-position model. Lineage: Bacteria; Pseudomonadati; Pseudomonadota; Betaproteobacteria; Burkholderiales; Burkholderiaceae. The record is from RNAcentral.